AGAAUCAACGCUGGCGGCGUGCCUAACACAUGCAAGUCGAACGAGAAAGUGGAGCAAUCCAUGAGUAAAGUGGCGCACGGGUGAGUAACACGUGACUAACCUACCCUUGAGUGGGGAAUAACCGUAGGGAAACCUGGGCUAAUACCGCAUAAUACCUUCGGGUCAAAGGAGCAAUUCGCUUAAAGGGAGGGGGUCGCGGCCGAUUAGUUAGUUGGCGGGGUAAUGGCCCACCAAGACUGUGAUCGGUAU
This 249-nucleotide ribosomal RNA is filed under the name uncultured bacterium. RNAcentral describes it as "partial small subunit ribosomal RNA". It matches the Rfam family "Bacterial small subunit ribosomal RNA", at positions 26 to 286 of the family's 1533-position model. The record is from RNAcentral.